Molecule: long non-coding RNA, 630 nt
Filed under: Amborella trichopoda
Lineage: Eukaryota; Viridiplantae; Streptophyta; Magnoliopsida; Amborellales; Amborellaceae
Description: long non-coding RNA (ATRI_LNC002271)
Source: RNAcentral
GGUGUUUGUAAGGCAAUUUUAGAGCCCCAACUCCUUGUGAUCAUUAAAUAGACGAAAACAUAACAGUACAACAAUAAAAUACUACAAUAAGUACAAUCACAUAACAUAUUGACGAACGAGACAAUCAUACAAGUCUCAAAGAGAUUGUAACUUACUAACUUGUAAGUUGUAAGCCAUUAAAAUUCUUGACAUCCCAAAUGUCAUUGUAGGAAACUAGAAGUCCACCCACGAACUAUUGUCUUUGUUUUGUAAAGAAAUAGAAAAAAUAAAAAAUUUAUCGAUCUUUCGAUAAAUCACAAAAUAGUGGUUUUUGAGGGGGUUUUCUCACCCUAAAGGCCACGGAUUUUCUAUUGGAGGUUUAGAAUACCCCCUAAAACCCUUUUCCCCCUUUUUAGGGGGGAAAAAUUACAUAUUUUACCCUCACCCGAGGGUUUUUGCAGCCGCCCUCAAGGUGUCACGGGGCAGCGCCUAGGCGGUACUCAGACAAUAGCGCCUAGGCAGCACCAAACCGCCUAGGCGUUAGCCCAAAAGCAAAAACGCCUAAUGCACCCGCCCAAACUGCACCUAGGCAUUUUGAAAUUUUUUUUGCCUAGGCGAUCGGGCAGCCAAAUUUUUGAACAUUGAGUAACC